GAUGAACGAGGGAGGGGGGAAGAAGACAGGAAAGUGGAGCGAACAGAUGAGGAGCUUGCUCCUCUGACGUUAGCGGCGGACGGGUGAGUAACACGUGGAUAACCUACCUAUAAGACUGGGAUAACUUCGGGAAACCGGAGCUAAUACCGGAUAAUAUAUUGAACCGCAUGGUUCAAUAGUGAAAGACGGUUUUGCUGUCACUUAUAGAUGGAUCCGCGCCGCAUUAGCUAGUUGGUAAGGUAACGGCUUCCCAAGGCAACGAUGCGUAGCCGACCUGAGAGGGUGCUGGGCCACACUGGAACUGAGACACGGUCCAGACUCCUACGGGAGGCAGCAGUAGGGAAUCUUCCGCAAUGGGCGAAAGCCUGACGGAGCAACGCCGCGUGAGUGAUGAAGGUCUUCGGAUCGUAAAACUCUGUGAUUCCGGAAGAACAAAUGUGUAAGUAACUAUGCACGUCUUGACGGUACCUAAUCAGAAAGCCCCGGCUCCCUACGUC
Molecule: ribosomal RNA, 497 nt
Filed under: uncultured bacterium
Lineage: Bacteria
Description: partial 16S ribosomal RNA
Rfam family: Bacterial small subunit ribosomal RNA
Source: RNAcentral